GCGUUUAUAGCUCAGUUGGUUAGAGCACCACCUUGACAUGGUGGGGGUCGUUGGUUCGAGUCCAAU
Molecule: transfer RNA, 66 nt
Filed under: Klebsiella pneumoniae
Lineage: Bacteria; Pseudomonadati; Pseudomonadota; Gammaproteobacteria; Enterobacterales; Enterobacteriaceae
Also listed under: 4 other names
Description: tRNA-Val
Rfam family: tRNA
About the family: Transfer RNA (tRNA) molecules are approximately 80 nucleotides in length. Their secondary structure includes four short double-helical elements and three loops (D, anti-codon, and T loops).
Source: RNAcentral